RNAcentral lists this ribosomal RNA (431 nucleotides) under uncultured bacterium. RNAcentral describes it as "partial 16S ribosomal RNA". It matches the Rfam family "Bacterial small subunit ribosomal RNA", at positions 29 to 507 of the family's 1533-position model. The record is from RNAcentral.
AACGAACGCUGGCGGCAGGCCUAACACAUGCAAGUCGAGCGCCCCGCCAGGGGAGCGGCGGACGGGUGAGUAACGCGUGGGAACGUACCCUUUGCUACGGAAUAGCCUCGGGAAACUGGGAGUAAUACCGUAUGUGUCCUUCGGGAGAAAGAUUUAUCGGCAAGGGAUCGGCCCGCGUUGGAUUAGGUAGUUGGUGGGGUAAUGGCCUACCAAGCCGACGAUCCAUAGCUGGUUUGGGAGGAUGAUCAGCCACACUGGGACUGAGACACGGCCCAGACUCCUACGGGAGGCAGCAGUGGGGAAUAUUAGACAAUGGGCGCAAGCCUGAUCUAGCCAUGCCGCGUGAGCGAUGAAGGCCUUAGGGUUGUAAAGCUCUUUCAGGGGGGAAGAUAAUGACUGUACCCCCAGAAGAAGCCCCGGCUAACUCCGUG